CUGAUGAGCACAUGAACACCUAGGAUAUGCAGAGAUACAGAACAAACUUCACAGCCCCACCCUUUAACAUCAAGAACGUUCUUUUUCUCUUGAAGAAGCCAGCAGGCAUCUUGCAUCAAUACAGUGUAGACACACUGUUUUUUGUCUCCUUGUUGUUCAGGGCUGCUCCAUCCACAUUGCCAUCCUGUACUUGGCAUCAUCUGCGUUGUCAUCUGUUUACUACCACGUUUGUAGUUGUGAAUAGAAGCUUAAAGCCUUUGUUCUUUUACAGGAUUUUAGCUUAUGGCAGAGUUUCAGUGAUGGUCACAGCUCUGUGCAGCCGCAGGUGGAUGUGCAUGGCUUGUAGGCCAGGAAUGGUCCUCAUAAAGUACAAGGCUCUGCAUAAGGUUUUGCUUACAUCUGAUAUAUCUAAUGUUCUGGACCAGUUAAAUUCCACCCCAGCAGCUCAUCACAGGGCUGUUGGCCCUGCCAGGCAAGGCUGAGCACAGUCUGUGGGCAGUACAGCGUGCACGGUGGAUGCUCUGAAACCCAGACAACGAGAAAAGUCCUUGUACUAAGAUGUUGACAACUCGUAUUAGAGUGAGUAAUGUGCUGGGAUGCAUGCCAGCCUCCUAGACCUUCACGUUAUGGCUGCAGCGUAAGCAAUUUCAAUGCCAGUUAAUUGCACUUGAAAACACUGUGGUGGUUGUGGUAUCUAAACACAGAAUAGGCGGAG
RNAcentral lists this long non-coding RNA (715 nucleotides) under Gallus gallus (chicken). Its description in RNAcentral is "long non-coding RNA NONGGAT001805". Lineage: Eukaryota; Metazoa; Chordata; Aves; Galliformes; Phasianidae. The record is from RNAcentral.